Molecule: transfer RNA, 72 nt
Filed under: Candidatus Accumulibacter appositus
Lineage: Bacteria; Pseudomonadati; Pseudomonadota; Betaproteobacteria
Description: Candidatus Accumulibacter sp. BA-92 tRNA-Arg
Source: RNAcentral
GAACCGGCUGCGGCACGGCCGCCGCGCUUCUAUCGCGGCAACGACGUCUUUGAUCCGCUCAAGGUCGGUUUC